UGGGAUAUAGCCAAGUUGGUAAGGCAUCGGAUUCUGAUUCCGACAUUCCGUAGGUUCGAGUCCUGCUAUCCCAGCCA
RNAcentral lists this transfer RNA (77 nucleotides) under Oscillospiraceae bacterium. Its description in RNAcentral is "tRNA-Gln". It matches the Rfam family "tRNA". From Rfam's summary of the family: Transfer RNA (tRNA) molecules are approximately 80 nucleotides in length. Their secondary structure includes four short double-helical elements and three loops (D, anti-codon, and T loops). The record is from RNAcentral. Lineage: Bacteria; Bacillati; Bacillota; Clostridia; Eubacteriales; Oscillospiraceae.